This 459-nucleotide ribosomal RNA is filed under the name uncultured bacterium. RNAcentral describes it as "partial 16S ribosomal RNA". It matches the Rfam family "Bacterial small subunit ribosomal RNA", at positions 338 to 795 of the family's 1533-position model. The record is from RNAcentral.
CCUACGGGAGGCUGCAGUGAGGAAUAUUGGUCAAUGGCCGGAAGUCUGAACCAGCCAAGCCGCGUGAGGGAGGAAGGCGCAGAGCGUCGCAGACCUCUUUUGCCGGGGGACAAAAGGCCGGACUCGUCCGGUCCUGAGGGUACCCUGAGAAAAAGCAUCGGCUAACUCCGUGCCAGCAGCCGCGGUAAUCCGGAGGAUGCGAGCGUUAUCCGGAUUCAUUGGGGUUAAGGGGUGCGCAGGCGGGCCUUUAAGCCGGCGGUGAAAUCGCGGGGCUCAACCCCGCCGAGCCGUAGGAACUGGGGGCCUGGAGUGCGGGGGAGGCAGGCGGAAUGCGUGGUGUAGCGGUGAAAUGCAUAGAUAUCGCGCAGAACCCCGAUUGCGAAGGCAGCGGGCCGUGCCGCGACUGACGCUGAGGCACGAAAGCGCGGGGAUCGAACAGGAUUAGAUACCCUAGUAGUC